UACGGGGGGGGCAAGCGUUGUUCGGAAUUACUGGGCGUAAAGGGUCUGUAGGUGGCCAACUAAGUCAGACGUGAAAUCCCUCAGCUUAACUGGGGAACUGCGUCUGAUACUGGAUGGCUUGAGUGCAGGAGAGGAACGCGGAAUUCCAGGUGUAGCGGUGAAAUGCGUAGAUAUCUGGAGGAACACCGAUUGCGAAGGCAGCUCGCUGGAACGUAACUGACGCUGAGACGCGAAAGCGUGGGGAGCAAACAGG
Molecule: ribosomal RNA, 253 nt
Filed under: uncultured bacterium
Lineage: Bacteria
Description: partial 16S ribosomal RNA
Rfam family: Bacterial small subunit ribosomal RNA
Source: RNAcentral